This 274-nucleotide ribosomal RNA is filed under the name Acidobacteriota bacterium. RNAcentral's name for it is "Acidobacteria bacterium (marine metagenome) partial 16S ribosomal RNA". It matches the Rfam family "Bacterial small subunit ribosomal RNA", at positions 1 to 260 of the family's 1533-position model. The record is from RNAcentral. Lineage: Bacteria; Pseudomonadati; Acidobacteriota.
AAACAUGAGAGUUUGAUCCUGGCUCAGAAUCAACGCUGGCGGCGUGCCUAACACAUGCAAGUCGAACGCGAAAGCGGGCUUCGGCCCGCAAGUAGAGUGGCAAACGGGUGAGUAACGCGUGGGUGACCUACCUUCGAGUGGGGGAUAACGUUCCGAAAGGAGCGCUAAUACCGCAUGACAUCCCGUCUUUGGAAAGAUGGUGAUCAAAGCUGGGGAUCGCAAGACCUGGCGCUUGUUGAGGGGCCCGCGUCCGAUUAGCUUGUUGGCGGGGUAA